Molecule: unclassified non-coding RNA, 714 nt
Filed under: Hevea brasiliensis (rubber tree)
Lineage: Eukaryota; Viridiplantae; Streptophyta; Magnoliopsida; Malpighiales; Euphorbiaceae
Source: RNAcentral
GGUAAAACGGCAUUACAUGAGGCAUCAGUGCUGGACUGCGAAGAUGACGACUUCACAAAUAAAGGGAAGAUGGACCAAACACGGGAGAAAAUCAAAUUCUUAUUGGACAGAGAGAUUCAAUCAUCAAUCGGGCUGACGAAGCAACUAAGGGAGAGAUUGAACUCUUUAUCGUGCCAAGAGAAUGUCAGAGACAACGCUCAAUCAUCAAUUGGGCUGAAGGAGCAAUUCAGUUCCAUAUUGCGCGAAGUGGAAGUCAAAGAUGAUGCUCAAUCAUUAAUUGGGCUGAUGGAGCAACUAUUGAAGAAAUUCAUGCAACUAUGGAAGAAAUUCAAAUCCUUGUUGGGCAAAAAGAAUGUUAUGGGUAGCACUCAAGUAUUAAUUGACGAUAAUUCAGAGCUGACGGAGAAACUAAGGCAGAUAUUGAAGCACUUAUCGCCCCAAGAGAAUGUCAAAGAUGACGUUCAAUCAUUAAUCGGGCUGAGGGAGCAACUAAAAGAGAAAUUGAACUCCUUAUCGCGCCAAGGGGGUGUCACAGAUGACGAGCAAUCAGUUAUAUCAAAGGUGAUCAAGUGCCUAUCGCUGAUGGCUUUGUGGACGGCUAGGUUUACAAUGUGCAUAAAAAAUGACAAGUAUGAGGAUGGAUCACCAAUUGAACUUUUUAUACAAAUCAUGCUAACUUCUCUCAUGAGGUUGACCAAAGAAACAGAUGAAAAA